CCGGCUCCUCCCGGAAGCGGCGAAGUUCAGGGGUCCAAGUAGGGAAGUUGGGUCCCAUGGGGAGUGGUGUCUGAAGAAGAGAAGCAAGUGUCCCUGAGGGAAUUAAGGGCCCGGUUAGAAACUGGAAAUUGAAGGUUUGACGGGGAAGUAAGGGGUCACACGAGGAUAGUUGAGGGUUCGGAUUCGAAGAGGAGUGGAGAGUUGGAAGGAAGGAAGGAGCUUGAAUUGGCCAAGGGGGAGCCAGAGAAGUAUUUACUGAACCCAGAGAAGAUUGAAAACUGCGUGGCAGAGGGCCCCAGCGAAGAUGAGGCCCUGUGUAUGAACUGCCAGAAUAACAGCUAUGGAGACAAAUGCGAGAGCUGCCUCCACGGCUACUUCCUCCUGGAUGGAAAGUGCACCAAGUGAGGCAGGGCGGAGGUGGGGGGAGCCUGAGACCCUUUCCCACCUGACUAGAAAUCGCUCUGGGAGUCAGGCACCCCUCCUCAGGCCUCUGCCCUCCAUCAGGAGAGGACAAAAUCCCAGGGUGCCCCCAGGCUGGCGUGAGGGGAAUGAGCGGGACUCAGAUGAGAGAGCUCUCCCACCUCAGAGGCCAGUGCUAAAACCCAGGCCACAGAGCGGCCCAUAUCCAGGAUAUUUUUAAUGUGUGGAAACCUAACUCCUGAUUCGCCCCAAACCUGCUCUUCUCACAGUCUUACCUAUUUCAGGAUAAAGCAAGCUCCAUCCUUCCAGUUGCUCAGUCACUUUCUCACCCAAUGUCCUAUCUGUCAGCAAAUUCUGUUGAUUCUACCUUCAGAAUAGACCCAAAAUCCCACCACUUCUCCCCACUGUCCCACCCCACUGCCCCUGCCCUGGUCUAGGCACUCACCUCUCCAACCUGAACUAAUGCACAGAUCUCCUCAGUGUGCUCCCCGCCCAUACCCUUGGCUGUUUAGUCUCUUCCUCACAAGCAGCAAGGGGGACCCUGUGAAUAUCUUAGUCAGAUCACAGCCCUCCUCUGCUCAGAACCGUCCUGUGAUUCUGUCCCCCACAGAGUAACAGUCAGAGUCCUCACCUUGGCCCAAGGUCCUGCAUGAUCUGCCUCUUGUUCCCCUUCUGAACUGCCUCUUCACUUCUCCCCCUCACUCUCCACUCUAACCACACAGGUCUCAUUGUUUCUCUGAAAUGCUAAACACACUCCCAGGGUCUUUACACUUGCUGUUCCCUCAGCUUAAAAUGCUUUUCCCCCAGGUGCCCCUAUAGCUCACUCCUUCACUUCUGCUCAUGUGUCAUCUUAUGAAAGAGGUCUUCCCCUCCUGUUAUCCUUGUUAGGUGCCGUCAAGUUGGUUCCAACUCUUGGAGACCCUAUGUACAACAGAACGCAAUGCUGCCCAGUCCUGUUCCAUCUUCACAAUUGUUGCUAUGUUUGAGCCCAUUGUUGCAGCCACUGUGUCAGUCCAUCUUGUUGAGGGUCUUCCUCUUUCUCACUGAUGCUCUACUUUACCAAGCAUGAUGUUCUUCUCCAGGGACCAUCCUCCCAGCACUUCCCUGCCUUGUUUUUCUUGUCACCUUCAACCUACCACAUCAUUUAUCUAUCUAUUGGGCUCCCUGCUAACUUGUCAGUUCCUUGAGGCCUGGGACCUUGUCCACUGCUAUGUCACCAGCACCUACAACAGUGUGGGGCUCACUAUAGGUGGAGAGAACGAGUGACCACAGGUGAUGUUGUUCCUCCUGAUAUGGAAGGGAGAUGCUGGCUGAGAGAAGGGAAGUGAUUUUGGAGUUGAUGUGGGACAAUGGAGAGUCAGACAGGCUGGUGUCAGAAUCCAGGCUCCUCUCUUAAUCAGUCCUGAGUUCUUGGACAAGAGACUUCACCUCCACAGGCCUUAGCUUCUGAAUCUGUGAAAUGGAAAGAUGAGCCUGUACCUCCCAGGGAUGGUGCUGGGAGGAUUAAAUGACUCAUGCCAAGCACCCGGGAUAAUGCCUGGGGUGCUGCAGACCCUUGAUAACCUCCCCCCACUUUCCCUAAGGUCAUCGGUGGGUUGGUGGCCUGGAACGAGCUAGAACUCAGGCCUCUUGCCCCCUGAGGCCAGGGUUUCUCUACACUCCGCCCCCCCGCCACCACCACGAGCCUGUUGUCUUCAGGUCCAUGGGUACCAGAGAGAAGUGACAGCUGAGAGGAUGCAUGCAGGGAGGAGGGACGCGUGCUCUGGGGGCAUCUGGCACGGGAGCAUCUGUAGAGCAGGUUCAGGAGUCAAAGGGAGGGUGGCUCUGGGUCCCAGAGAAAAGGUCCAGGCAUGGUGCAAGUGCUCUGCAGAGGAAGGCAGAGUGGCUGCUAGGAAAAGGCCUCCCCAAAGGGCCAUAGUUUACAUGGAGGGGUCUUGAAGAAGAACCUCAGCUCCUCUCUGGUCAAGCAGGGUAGACUUUCCUCUGGCCUCAGGACUCCCUCUCUACUGUAGGUUUGCUCCCCAGUUGGUAAUUCUGCCUUUUUAACACCCCUCCGCUCUCCAGCAGAAACUGGCAAUUUUUGGACACCCUGCCCCUAAUGUCUGCUCUGUGCUGGGACAGCUCUCAGCCACUUAAGUUAACCUGUGCUAAAUAAAGGACUUCUUCCUCAGGAGGACGUCCUUGGGCGGUGCAAAGGGUUAGUGUGCUUGGCUGUUAACUGAAAGGUUGGAGGUUUGAGUCGGCCCAGAGGCACCUCAGAAGAAAGAGCGGACAUUUACUGAUACUUACAAAAAAGCAGCCAUUGAAAACCCUAUGGAAUAAGUUGUACACCUGUAAAAAGCUGAACUGGCAAAUGUUGUGUGGUAGAUAUAUUUACAAUAACAAGAAAAAGAGCAGCUGCUGAAGCUGCUUAUGAAUGAUGAGACAUCUCAUGGGAUUUGGUUUCUUGGUUUGGCGAUAUAGGGUCGUGGUUUCAUGGGACAUACUGGCUAAUUAGCCUAAUUAUGUGUUAAGUGCAUCUGUUCCACCUCCUAGUUCAUCGCAUAGUGCUCAGGAUCUUAAAAGCUUGGAAGCAAGUCACUCAAUAUAAAGCAAUUCGUCUCUAUUCAUUUGGAGCGACAGAGGAAGUAGAGUCAGGAAUUGGAGGAGUGUAUGGAAUGUGUGGUUAAUUGUCUCGUUGAGUAACUGCCUCCUUUGUCAUGAGGCCAGAAGAACUAGACGGUGCCCAGCUACUGUUACUGAACAUUUUGAUCAAAGAUUCUAUAGAAGAAUCCUGAUCAAAAGGGGAAAACUGCAGACAGAAUUUCAAAUUCUCUUGAAAUCCAGUCUUUCUGCAACUAUGGAGGCUGGAUGUACCCCUGACACUAUUGCCCUAAGAUAACCUUUAAGCCUUAAGCCAAAAAUAUCUUCUUUAAACCAAACAAGAGUUUACCUUAACUAAUAAAGAAUGUCUGCCUUGAGCACUGUGUUCUCUGAGAACUAUCUAUAGGGGAUCAAAGUGACAACAGCAAUUCAAAAAGACUAAAUAGGAAACUUAGGGGGAAGAAAAUAGGCUCAGAAAGCUUUAUUAAUUCACUAAAAUAACAGCUAGUAAGUGGCAAGGGUCAGGGUUGGAUCCCAGGUCUGUCCAGUGUUGAGGCCUGAACACUUUCUAAUCUGUUAGUUGCCUUUGCAGUAAAGAGGGUGGAUUGAACAAAUUGCCCUAAAGAUCCCUUUGAGCUUCAGAGAGCUUUAAAUCUGACAUUUCUCUGCUUUGGAAACAAAGUCCCCAAGCCUGUUACAACUGUGUGUAAGCCAAGAGCUCAUAGGUAUUGAAUGAGCCGGGAGUUCUAAACGUAUCCUUUGAACUUCAGUGCCUAGGCUCUGCCAAGACUCUAUGUUAUGGCUUUGCCUAUUUUCAGGGUCCUUGGCAAGGGUCCUGACUGCACUGAGGGUUAGUGCUUUUACUCUGAGCCCUGGUGGUGCAGUGGUCAAAGUGCUUGGCUGCUAAUUGAAAGCUCUGUAUUUCAAACCCAACAGCCACUCUGUGGGAGAAAGAUGUGGCAGUCUGCUUCUGUAAAGAUUUACAGACUUGGAAACCCUGUGGGGCAGUGCUCUCUGUCCUAUAGGGCUGCUAUGAGUCAGAAUUGAUUCGUCAGCAAAUGGUUCAGUUUUUUUGGGUUUAGAGAGGGAGAGACAGUUGGGUUAAAGGUCUGACCCCUGAACUCCUCCUUCUUCACCUAGGCAUCUUUCCUGUGUCCCCAUCUCCCUCACCAAGCCUUCCUCUCCACCUGGAUUCCUUCCCUGGGAUAAAAAGGAUGUAGGCGGAGCUGGUUUUCAGGUUUUUAUUGUGGGUGAAUUUCUGGGUGUGGGCCCGGGCAGAGGGCAGGCCCUGCCAGGAGGGGGCAGAGAAGGCCAGGUGGGACUGGUGGACAUGGAUGGGGAGGGUGGGCAACAUCUUCACUGGCGGAUCUUCAGUUCCCGCGCCAUCUGGCAGAGGGCGCAGGGCAGACAAAAGGUAAGGGCAGCCCAGUCGUGCCCCACGGAGCCCUGCGGGGUGGAAGAGACAGGUUAGGAGCCCUGCCUUAGGUCCCAGGAGUCCAGAUCCAGGAGUCCAGCCCCCCAGCCCCCUCCUCCCUCAGACCCAGGAGUCCUCACCCCCAGCCCUCUCCUCUCUCAGACCCAGGAGUUCUUACCCCAGCCCCUCCUUCCUCAGACCCAGGGGUCCUGGCCCCAGUCCCCUCCUCCCUCAGACCCAGGGGUCCUGGCCCCCACCCCUUCCUCCCGAGGGGCUCGGUCCUGCGCGCACCCGGAUGUGGUA
Molecule: long non-coding RNA, 4720 nt
Organism: Loxodonta africana (African savanna elephant)
Lineage: Eukaryota; Metazoa; Chordata; Mammalia; Proboscidea; Elephantidae
Exons: 3
Source: RefSeq, a predicted model, not a curated record